RNAcentral lists this ribosomal RNA (230 nucleotides) under uncultured bacterium. Its description in RNAcentral is "partial 16S ribosomal RNA". It matches the Rfam family "Bacterial small subunit ribosomal RNA", at positions 524 to 754 of the family's 1533-position model. The record is from RNAcentral.
UACGGAGGGUGCGAGCGUUGUCCGGAAUCACUGGGCGUAAAGGGCGCGUAGGCGGCGCGGAUAGUCGGCGGUGAAAGCCCGGAGCUCAACUCCGGGUCGGCCUCGAUACUUCCGGGCUUGAGCACUGUAGAGGCAGAUGGAAUUCCGGGUGUAGCGGUGGAAUGCGUAGAGAUCCGGAAGAACACCGGUGGCGAAGGCGGUCUGCUGGGCAGUUGCUGACGCUGAUGCGC